Molecule: ribosomal RNA, 362 nt
Filed under: Escherichia coli 2-222-05_S3_C1
Lineage: Bacteria; Pseudomonadati; Pseudomonadota; Gammaproteobacteria; Enterobacterales; Enterobacteriaceae
Description: bacterial SSU rRNA
Rfam family: Bacterial small subunit ribosomal RNA (bases 1-313)
Source: RNAcentral
CGUGCUACAAUGGCGCAUACAAAGAGAAGCGACCUCGCGAGAGCAAGCGGACCUCAUAAAGUGCGUCGUAGUCCGGAUUGGAGUCUGCAACUCGACUCCAUGAAGUCGGAAUCGCUAGUAAUCGUGGAUCAGAAUGCCACGGUGAAUACGUUCCCGGGCCUUGUACACACCGCCCGUCACACCAUGGGAGUGGGUUGCAAAAGAAGUAGGUAGCUUAACCUUCGGGAGGGCGCUUACCACUUUGUGAUUCAUGACUGGGGUGAAGUCGUAACAAGGUAACCGUAGGGGAACCUGCGGUUGGAUCACCUCCUUACCUUAAAGAAGCGUUCUUUGCAGUGCUCACACAGAUUGUCUGAUGAAAA